This 1402-nucleotide ribosomal RNA is filed under the name Metatrichia vesparia. RNAcentral's name for it is "Metatrichia vesparium partial 18S ribosomal RNA". Lineage: Eukaryota; Evosea; Eumycetozoa; Trichiida; Trichiidae. The record is from RNAcentral.
CUAAUUCCGGUACGUACAGAUUCAUAUUUGUUUAAACAUGACACUUUGACGCUUACCGAGUAAUUUAGUCAAUAUCAAAUAAACUACCAUGGAACGAUGUACCUAUUGACACCAUUAAGAUCUCGAUUAUGUACGAAGUUUCGGGGUUGAAGACCUUCCCCACAUAAAUAAUCUAUUUUUUGGUUGCGCCAAGCGGCGAGGGAACCACUAAGUAUUAUUGAAGAGCUUAGCGUACCGGAACACGGCCGCUACGAAGUAAGUUUAUAGACGGGAUAGUUGAAAGCUACCAUCCUAUCUCCGGAUGGUACCAAAGUUGCCCAUUGCCCCUUAUUCCCAAGCUAAGGCCUCUCCCUCGGACUCUUUGCCGAUGGUGUAGGUUCCUUCCGUCGUCCGCGCGUUUAAUGGGUUAGGGCUGUGCCCCUCCAUCACUGUUAUUUAUUGUUAUAUCCCGAGAAAACCCAGAAUAUUAACCUUACUCAUGUUAAAUUUAGGGAAUUGCUCCUUGUUAACCUCCCGUUCAGACCACGGUCGUCGGCGCCAUUAAGGUCGAGGUUAUCGCAUAUAAUUUCAACAACGUCAAUUUUUCGAGCAUCAACUUGAAGUCGGGACCGGCCCGCCAGACGGAAGUGCCAUACAUGACAGACCGACCCCGAAUGGAGAACCACUCGAACGUACGGCAAAUAAGCCACACGUUCCCUUGGUCCUGAAAAUGAAACUCUUUUAAUCUCACAAGUUUCGUCCGUUUACGGGCUUAUGUAAUCGUACCUUAUUACCUUAUCCUGCACGCCAAGAUAAAACAACCAAAGAUCUCAGCGGCAUUACUAAUUAUCCCUGUCAACCCCCGUAAUCAUAACUCAACGAUCUCCACUUUAAGAACCUAAAUGAGUUCUGAUUGAAGACGCUUUCGUAAACGGUUCCUACAAAAGUAAUUAGUUCUUGCUUCCAAUCCCCUAGCUUUUGCUAGUCUAUGGCAACAUCAGAAUUGUCAUUUGAUACGGCUGAUCCCUAGCCCGCUAGAGUGAUAAUACACAGCGGGCCGUGGAAUGCUCUUUAGUUUCAGAAACCCAAGACCCCCCUCAUACCAGCGUUCCGACUUUGAAUUUCCUUAACUGCCUUCCCGUGGUGGUCCACACCUCGGACGCCGAAUUAAACUGAGUUGUGCCCCUUUGAGUGGUCCAGGUCUGUAUCGAUCCUAACUGUCUAACUAUCGAGAAAGAACUAAGAUACCCACCACCACGUACCGGCAAGAAUCAACCACCUCACUAAACAGACCAAUUAAGGCUAUUGCUUGCUCUGGAAUUGGACGAUUUAUCGGGCAUAACGAAACCGUCAUGCGGCCGAAGAAUCUCCCUGAUAGCCGAGUUCGGCUACCUUCAAACUCCGUUAUUGUCCAGACACUACG